Molecule: non-coding RNA, 59 nt
Filed under: Prasinoderma singulare
Lineage: Eukaryota; Viridiplantae; Prasinodermophyta; Prasinodermophyceae; Prasinodermales; Prasinodermaceae
Source: RNAcentral
GCAUUACGCCGUCGUCAAGCUCGCCAGGACAACGCAGCAGCAGCAGCAGGGCCACGCGA